Molecule: long non-coding RNA, 2199 nt
Organism: Cercocebus atys (sooty mangabey)
Lineage: Eukaryota; Metazoa; Chordata; Mammalia; Primates; Cercopithecidae
Exons: 3
Source: RefSeq, a predicted model, not a curated record
UGUCUGGAAAAAAAAAAAGUUUUUUAAGUUCCAAAGUAGCAUAUACAGUAUGAUUCCAUUUUGAAUUUGUACUUACUAUAAUUCAUAGAAAGGGUCUGGAAGAUUCCUACAAAGUAUUCACACUGGUUGUCUUUAAAUGGGUAGGAUUUGGAGGUUUUGUGUUUUGGGGGUUUUUUCAGCCUUCAUUUUCUAAAGCAAAAAUAAUUGCUUUUUCAUGGGAACUAAAUUAUUUACAAUUUUAUAAAUCUAUCACAGUAAAAAAUAAAUUACAUAUAAUUGUAAAGAGUUUACUACCUUUCAGCUGUGAAAGUUGAUCAUAUAAAUCGGGCCAUUUUUGUCAUACCUAUUAAAAAGUGGAGAGGCCAGAGGGAGAAAACAUUCAGGUCACAAAUAUCACUUGAAAAAUAUAAUUCUCUACAGGCCUGGCUGCUGAAACUGCCUGCUAACACUUAAAACCAAUUUAAUCUAAAGGCUACUAAGACAGCCUGCUACAAUUCUAAGAUGAAUUUUACCCACCACUGUCACUCAGCAAUCAAAAUUUGCCAACCCCACCAAAACAUUUUAAAAACUAACGUCCAAUUCAUCUAUCAACGACCAACAAUAAAUUCCCUGAGAGUAAAGCCUUUGCUUAGCUUUCCAGUCCCGUUAAACGGCGAAAAGAACAAAAGGGUCCCCAGGACCCUGCCCAACGAUACGCCACAUUCUGUCUACCAAAGCCACCCAGCCAGAACACGCCAGGUGACUGGCAGGCAGAUACUUCCGGAAGAAGUCGGUCCUCCGAACCUGGAAGUGAAGCAGAAGACGCACAGUAUUCUGGGAGGAGUUAGGGAGGCGGGAUUGUCGUUGCUGGCUGUUACCAGGACAACCGGAGGCGAUUGACCGUUAUCUGCGGUUUGCAGCCGUUAGCGGGAGAGGCAGAGAAGUUCAGAGGUCUUUUAGGAUGUGCUAAAGGGUCGUGAGGGCUCUCUUAAGAUUUUCCUCACAAUAGGUUAUCCAGUCGUGCCCCUUGGCCCAGCCGCUGGCCCCGGGGAUCUGAGUCGCACCCUCUUGUUUUUCUCUGAGUCUGUCUUAAGGUGAAAUGAAGUGUGGCCCAGUGGCUCCUCAUUGUCGCUUCUCUAGUUUUCUGCCUCCUUUUAGAAAAUUGAAUUGAGAAGACAGGAUGAAGUGGACACAGCAUGUGAAGACAAUUCUUUCAAGAAGUUUGGCUGUCAAGGAAAAUAGAGAAUGUGAGUAGCCGAAGGAGAAUGACAGGCGAAAGAAAGAAAUUGGGAGCCAGACAAUACAGCCGGACAGUUUACACCUGUAUUGAUGUCCCACCUUUUUCACAAAAGAUUGAGUAUGCUUGGGGAAAAACUACACACUAUCAUAGGAGAAAAUGAUUGGAAGAGAAACUGAGACAAAGGUGAAAGGACCUCAACAAGAGGGAUAAUUGUUUGAAUUAAAGAAUUAAGUAUGAAAAAAGAAGAAGAAGUCAAAAAGAAUACCAAGAUUUCCCCUUGGUAAUAAGGAGGAGGUACUAACAUUGUACUAAAAUCAGCAGAAGGUUUGGGGAGAGAAGGUGCUUGAUUGUGAGUUUCUUGAACAUGGGGCAAACUUAUUCAUAUGUAUCCAUAGCACAUGAAUCCAGUUCAGCUGUUGGGUUUGAGAAAUCUGUGGGAUUUAUCAGGGAAAAGGGUGCAGGAAUGUAGGUCAGGAGUCUGGGGAAAGAAGAUGAAAAAGGAGUUUAAGAUGUAAGAUUCAUUCUUUCAAUAAAGUUUUAUUAAUUAUAUAUCACAAUAUGUAUUUUCAUGAGACUCUAAACUGUCUGAGGGCAGAAACCACGGUUUUUUUUAACCACUUACCCAGCCCCUAGCACAAUACAGAGUCAGUGCUUAUGUAUGUUGAAUAAACAAAUGAAAAAAUACAAAACACAGUGCUUUACAGUAUAGGAGAUGCAGAGUUGAAUUAGAAAAUCUUAAGGGAACAAGAAACACUGGGGUCUACUUGAGGGUGGAGGGUGGGAGCAUGGAGAGGAACAGAAAAAAUAUGGGGUACUAGGCUUAAUACAUGGGUGAUGAAAUAAUCUUUACAACAAACCUUCAUGCGUACCCCCAAACCUAAAAUAAAAGUUUUAAAAGAAGAAAAUCUUCUUAAAGAAGUUUAUAGAGCAGGGGCCCCAUCUCCUUAAAAAAAAAAAAAAAGAAAAAGUGAGUUUAUAGG